GGCCAUAUAAUAUUGAAACACUAGUUCCCGUACAAUCACUGAUGUUAAGCAACAUUGAGCUUGGUCAGUACUUAUAUAGGUGACUGCUAGGAAAUUCCACGUGCUGUAAG
This is a non-coding RNA of Acanthosepion pharaonis, 110 nucleotides long. NCBI's taxonomy places the organism in Eukaryota, Metazoa, Mollusca, Cephalopoda, Sepiida, Sepiidae. The record is from the annotation of a GenBank genome assembly.